AGGGAAUCUUCGGCAAUGGGGGCAACCCUGACCGAGCAACGCCGCGUGAGUGAAGAAGGUUUUCGGAUCGUAAAGCUCUGUUGUAAGAGAAGAACGAGUGUGAGAGUGGAAAGUUCACGCUGUGACGGUAUCUUACCAGAAAGGGACGGCUAACUACGUGCCAGCAGCCGCGGUAAUACGUAGGUCCCGAGCGUUAUCCGGAUUUAUUGGGCGUAAAGCGAGCGCAGGCGGUUAGAUAAGUCUGAAGUUAAAGGCUGUGGCUUAACCAUAGUACGCUUUGGAAACUGUUUAACUUGAGUGCAAGAGGGGAGAGUGGAAUUCCAUGUGUAGCGGUGAAAUGCGUAGAUAUAUGGAGGAACACCGGUGGCGAAAGCGGCUCUCUGGCUUGUAACUGACGCUGAGGCUCGAAAGCGUGGGGAGCAAACAGGAUUAGAUACCCUGGUAGUCCACGCCGUAAACGAUGAGUGCUAGGUGUUAGACCCUUUCCGGGGUUUAGUGCCGCAGCUAACGCAUUAAGCACUCCGCCUAGGGAGUACGACCGCAAGGUUG
RNAcentral lists this ribosomal RNA (549 nucleotides) under uncultured bacterium. RNAcentral describes it as "bacterial SSU rRNA". It matches the Rfam family "Bacterial small subunit ribosomal RNA", at positions 356 to 896 of the family's 1533-position model. The record is from RNAcentral.